This 436-nucleotide long non-coding RNA is filed under the name Cricetulus griseus (Chinese hamster). Its description in RNAcentral is "lncRNA (ENSCGRG00015004159.2)". Lineage: Eukaryota; Metazoa; Chordata; Mammalia; Rodentia; Cricetidae. The record is from RNAcentral.
UGCAUACUCAAAGAAAAAUUCAAAGUACAGGAAAGUGUCAAAAAAAAAAAAAUCACCUGAAACCCUUUGUCUCCUCCAGUCACCUAGUGAGCAGUGGGUCCCUGUUUCUCCAGCUUGCUCUGGGGGACAAUGGUUGCUGCCCUCCUCUCAUCUGGACCCCAGCAUCCACAUCUACAGCCUGGGAUGCUCUGUGGCCAUCGGAUGCACAAGGACACAUUUUCCAAGAGCAAGGGCCCAUGGGACCUCAAGAGAGAAUUUUUCCUGAUGAUGCAAGAAACUACCACUGUGAAAGUGUGGGUGUGGAAGUACACGCCCUUGGUCCUGGCUUUCAGGAGGAUGAAGAGUUUGAGGCCAGCCUGUGUUACAAUACUCAGUGAGACCCCUGCUAAAUAAUCAACAAUCAAAAUUCGAAUUGACUGUAGUUUUUAGGUUAGAG